RNAcentral lists this ribosomal RNA (498 nucleotides) under uncultured bacterium. Its description in RNAcentral is "partial 16S ribosomal RNA". It matches the Rfam family "Bacterial small subunit ribosomal RNA", at positions 28 to 523 of the family's 1533-position model. The record is from RNAcentral.
GAUGAACGCUAGCGGCAGGCCUAAUACAUGCAAGUCGAACGAUAGUGAGAAGCUUGCUUCUCACGAAAGUGGCGCACGGGUGCGUAACGCGUAUGCAACCUACCUUAAUCAGGGGGAUAGCCCGAAGAAAUUCGGAUUAACACCGCAUAAAAUCACAGUAUAGCAUUAUACAAUGAUCAAAUAUUUAUAGGAUUAAGAUGGGCAUGCGUGACACUAGUUAGUUGGCGGGGUAACGGCCCACCAAGACCACGAUGUCUAGGGGAUCUGAGAGGAGGACCCCCCAAACUGGUACUGAGACACGGACCAGACUCCUACGGGAGGCAGCAGUAAGGAAUAUUGGUCAAUGGAGGCAACUCUGAACCAGCCAUGCCGCGUGCAGGAAGACAGCCCUCUGGGUCGUAAACUGCUUUUAUUCGGGAAUAAACCUAUCUACGUGUAGAUAGCUGAAUGUACCGAAGGAAUAAGGAUCGGCUAACUCCGUGCCAGCCGCCGCCGUAA